This is a non-coding RNA of Parelaphostrongylus tenuis, 72 nucleotides long. NCBI's taxonomy places the organism in Eukaryota, Metazoa, Nematoda, Chromadorea, Rhabditida, Metastrongylidae. The record is from the annotation of a GenBank genome assembly.
GCGUCGGUAGUGCAACGGUUAGCAUACGCUCCCGGAGAGAGUGAGAUUUUGGUUCGAAUCCCGGCUGACGCA